UACGAAGGGUGCAAGCGUUACUCGGAAUUACUGGGCGUAAAGCGCACGUAGUCGGCUUUGCAAGUCGGGUGUGAAAUCCCCGGGCUCAGCCUGGGAACUGCAUCCGAGACUGCAUUGCUAGAGUAUGGGAGAGGGAAGCGGAAUUUCUGGUGUAGCAGUGAAAUGCGUAGAUAUCAGAAGGAACAUCAGUGGCGAAGGCGGCUUCCUGGACCAAUACUGACGAUCAGGUGCGAAAGCGUGGGGAGCAAACAGG
RNAcentral lists this ribosomal RNA (253 nucleotides) under uncultured bacterium. Its description in RNAcentral is "partial 16S ribosomal RNA". It matches the Rfam family "Bacterial small subunit ribosomal RNA", at positions 524 to 776 of the family's 1533-position model. The record is from RNAcentral.